CACGAUCUUGAUAAGGGUGGUUCUACUGAGGAAAGUGAAUGUUUACUUCAUAAAGCAACUUCUCCUCCAGUGGAGGAGGCAUUUUUGGCUGGUUGGACUUCGAGAGCAACAGGCAGUUGUUCAUCUUGUAAAGAACCUUCACUAUCCCUUGCAGAACCUCCUCCCCGCAUGAUGUUGCCCACUGUUGAUGAGGUAUCUCAGAUUCCAGAAAACUCGUCGAUAUAAUGAGGGACAUCGACUGUAGCAGCUCGAGACAUGAGGUUUCUUUUGAGAUGGACAGAGAAGAGCCAAUGCCAGAUUCUAACGAAUUUGCCACUGACAAUGAUCUCCUAAGUCAAUUACAAGAUGAUAAAGAGUACAACACAUUUGAUCUGAUGUCAAAUGAUAUGACCAAUAGAAUGUCUUGUAAAGAACCUUCACUAUCCCUUGCAGAACGUAGAGGGAACAUUUGUCCUCCCCGCAUGAUGUUGCCCACUGUUGAUGAGGUAUCUCAGAUUCCAGAAAACUCGUCAAAAUCUCUUCCUUGCAUAGAAGAUGAUAUAAUGAGGGACAUCGACUGUAGC
This 563-nucleotide long non-coding RNA is filed under the name Olea europaea (common olive). Its description in RNAcentral is "long non-coding RNA (OEUR_LNC003038)". Lineage: Eukaryota; Viridiplantae; Streptophyta; Magnoliopsida; Lamiales; Oleaceae. The record is from RNAcentral.